GAUGAACGCUGGCGGCGUGCCUAAUACAUGCAAGUCGAGCGAACAGACGAGGAGCUUGCUCCUCUGACGUUAGCGGCGGACGGGUGAGUAACACGUGGAUAACCUACCUAUAAGACUGGGAUAACUUCGGGAAACCGGAGCUAAUACCGGAUAAUAUAUUGAACCGCAUGGUUCAAUAGUGAAAGACGGUUUUGCUGUCACUUAUAGAUGGAUCCGCGCCGCAUUAGCUAGUUGGUAAGGUAACGGCUUACCAAGGCAACGAUGCGUAGCCGACCUGAGAGGGUGAUCGGCCACAAUGGAACUGAGACAAGGUCCAGACUCCUAAGGGAGGCAGCAGUAGGGAAUCUUCCGCAAUGGGCGGAAGCCUGACGGAGCAAAGCCGCGUGGGUGAUGAAGGUCUUCGGAUCGUAAAACUUUGUUAUUAGGGAAGAACAAAUGUGUAAGUAACUAUGCACGUCUUGACGGUACCUAAUCAGAAAGCCACGGCUAACUACGUG
Molecule: ribosomal RNA, 497 nt
Filed under: uncultured bacterium
Lineage: Bacteria
Description: partial 16S ribosomal RNA
Rfam family: Bacterial small subunit ribosomal RNA
Source: RNAcentral